AAGGGAGACCUAAUUCCGGUAGGAGACGAAAAAAAAGUAGUCCCUACCAAGAAUCAAUCCCAAAAGGUCGAAGCGAGGCAAGAUUGGCUUUCAAACUAGGUUCUGGGUUCAAACAAGACCUGAAUCAGGAACAAGGGCUAUUAGCUCAGGUGGUUAGAGCGCACCCCUGAUAAGGGUGAGGUCCCUGGUUCGAGUCCAGGAUGGCCCACCUGCACAGGUGGCAAAAACAAAGAAGCGAGGAAUCAGCACCUUAUCUUACUUAUAUAGUAAGAGAGAAUGCUGGCUCUGAGUAAAGAGUCCAGAGGAACCUUGAAAACUGCAUAGAGCUAGGUGAAAAAGCCAAAAAAGAAGACCGCAA
RNAcentral lists this transfer RNA (358 nucleotides) under uncultured Microcystis sp. RNAcentral describes it as "partial 16S-23S ribosomal RNA intergenic spacer". The stretch from base 135 to 208 matches the Rfam family "tRNA". Lineage: Bacteria; Bacillati; Cyanobacteriota; Cyanophyceae; Chroococcales; Microcystaceae. The record is from RNAcentral.